RNAcentral lists this ribosomal RNA (491 nucleotides) under uncultured bacterium. Its description in RNAcentral is "partial 16S ribosomal RNA". It matches the Rfam family "Bacterial small subunit ribosomal RNA", at positions 29 to 507 of the family's 1533-position model. The record is from RNAcentral.
GUGAACGCUGGCGGUAGGCCUAACACCUGCCAGUCGCACGGCAGCACAGUAAGAGCUUGCUCUUACGGGUGGCGAGUGGCGGACGGGUGAGGAAUACAUCGGAAUCUACUUUUUCGUGGGGGAUAACGUAGGGAAACUUACGCUAAUACCUCAUACGACCUACGGGUGAAAGCAGGGGAUCUUCGGACCUUGCGCGAUUGCAUGAGCCGAUGUCGGAUUAGCUAGUUGGCGGGGUAAAGGCCCACCAAGGCGACGAUCCGUAGCUGGUCUGAGAGGAUGAUCAGCCACACUGGAACUGAGACACGGUCCAGACUCCUACGGGAGGCAGCAGUGGGGAAUAUUGGACAAAGGGCGCAAGCCUGAUCCAGCCAUACCGCGUGGGUGAAGAAGGCCUUCGGGUUGUAAAGCCCUUUUGUUGGGAAAGAAAAGCAGCAGGUUAAUACCCCGCUGUUCUGACGGUACCCAAAGAAUAAGCACCGGCUAACUUCGUG